GAAGGAUCUUGGGUGCUGUGAUAUUAUGGGCAGUGCACCAAAAAGCCAAAUAUUCCUUUGUACAAUAUUUAUUUUCAAGGACAUGGACAUAAGUGGCUAAGCAAAGGUAGCAAUCAGAUAAUCCUACAAAAUGUAAUUAGAGAGGUGGAAGGGUUUCUUUGGUUUUUCUCAUUUCUUACUUUGUUCUCUGUUAGUGGUGUGCCAUAAACCCCCAAAAGGGAGUUGAAGUAUGAUCCUAUUAUAUUAAAGUAGCAAGUGAAGCAAAUGAGGAGAGAAGAAGGAAAGUUGAUGUAUUAUUUUUGUAGCCUUUGUUUUCACUUUCUUUUGUUGUCUUAAUACUGCCAAUUGUGGAAGAAAGCCAUUUGGGAAGUAUUUGUGGUGAAAGAGAUUUAGUGGUUUGACUAAAGUUACAAUUAGUUAGUGGCUGAGUUACCACUAAUAGCUAACUAUUAAACUUCAUUAGCAUUCCAGUUGAUGAGGAGGAAAAUAAAUCAGAAGGUAAAUAAAAGUAAUCAUAAAAGGGAUCAGAGGCAAAGAAUAUUCUUAUGAUCCAUUAGAUAAAUGCCCUAUAUCUAUCUACUCCUUCAUCUCUAGAGAAUCAAUAUCUUUGUCACUACAGAAUACAAAAUCCACCCCUUAGAAUGCUUUGUGUAGUCUACUCGG
RNAcentral lists this long non-coding RNA (663 nucleotides) under Pan troglodytes (chimpanzee). Its description in RNAcentral is "long non-coding RNA NONPTRT013237". The record is from RNAcentral. Lineage: Eukaryota; Metazoa; Chordata; Mammalia; Primates; Hominidae.